Molecule: transfer RNA, 73 nt
Filed under: Ixodes scapularis (black-legged tick)
Lineage: Eukaryota; Metazoa; Arthropoda; Arachnida; Ixodida; Ixodidae
Rfam family: tRNA
About the family: Transfer RNA (tRNA) molecules are approximately 80 nucleotides in length. Their secondary structure includes four short double-helical elements and three loops (D, anti-codon, and T loops). Further hydrogen bonds mediate the characteristic L-shaped molecular structure. tRNAs have two regions of fundamental functional importance: the anti-codon, which is responsible for specific mRNA codon recognition, and the 3' end, to which the tRNAs corresponding amino acid is attached (by aminoacyl-tRNA synthetases). tRNAs cope with the degeneracy of the genetic code in two manners: having more than one tRNA (with a specific anti-codon) for a particular amino acid; and 'wobble' base-pairing, i.e. permitting non-standard base-pairing at the 3rd anti-codon position.
Source: Rfam by way of RNAcentral
CCCUGGUUAGCUCAGUUGGUAGAGCGCUCCACCUGUAAUGGAGAGGUCCCGGGUUCGAUACCCGGAUCAGGCG